GGGGCAACUCUUAUUUUAGUGGCGGACGGGUGCGGAAUGCGUAGGAAUCGCCCAUGCAGUGGGGGAUAACUUGGGGAAACUCAAGCUAAUACCGCAUAAUUCCUACGGGAGAAAGAGGGCCUAUACUUGUAAGCUUAGAUGAGCCUGCGUAAGAUUAGCUAGAUGGUGGGGUAAAGGCCUACCAUGGCGACGAUCUUUAGCUGGUUUGAGAGGAUGAUCAGCCACACUGGGACUGAGACACGGCCCAGACUCCUACGGGAGGCAGCAGUGGGGAAUAUUGCACAAUGGGCGCAAGCCUGAUGCAGCCAUGCCGCGUGUGUGAAGAAGGCCUUCGGGUUGUAAAGCACUUUCAAUUGGGAAGAAAGAUUUAGAGUUAAUACCUCUUAAUAUUGACGUUACCUACAGAAGAAGCACCGGCUAACUCUGUGCCAGCAGCCGCGGUAAUGCAGAGGGUGCGAGCGUUAAUCGGAAUUACUGGGCGUAAAGCGCGCGUAGGUGGAUAUUUAAGUCGGGUGUGAAAUCCCUGGGCUCAACCCAGGAACUGCAUUCGAUACUGGAUGUCUAGAGUAUGGUAGAGGAAUGUGGAAUUCCGGGUGUAGCGGUGAAAUGCGUAGAUAUCCGGAGGAACACCAGUGGCGAAGGCGGCUUCCUGGACCAACACUGACGCUGAGGUGCGAAAGCGUGGGGAGCGAACAGGAUUAGAUACCCUGGUAGUCCACGCCGUAAACGAUGAGAACUAGAUGUUGGGGGGCAUGUCCCUUUAGUGUCGAAGCUAACGCGUUAAGUUCUCCGCCUGGGGAGUACGGCCGCAAGGUUAAAACUCAAAUGAAUUGACGGGGGCCCGCACAAGCGGUGGAGCAUGUGGUUUAAUUCGAUGCAACGCGAAAAACCUUACCUACGCUUGACAUCCUCGGAACUUGUCAGAAAUGACUUGGUGCCUUCGGGAGCCGUGAGGCAGGUGCUGCAUGGCUGUCGUCAGCUCGUGUCGUGAGGUGUUGGGUUAAGUCCCGCAACGAGCUCAACCCCUAUCUCUAGUUGCCAGCACGUAAUGGUGGGAACUCUAAGGAGCUGCCGGUGUUAAACCGGAGGAAGGUGGGGAUGACGUCAAGUCCUCAUGGCCCUUAUGUCCAGGGCUACUCACGUGCUACAAUGGUCGGUACAGAGGGUUGCCAAACCGCGAGGUGGAGCGAAUCCCUUAAAGCCGAUCGUAGUCCGGAUCGGAGUCUGCAACUCGACUCCGUGAAGUCGGAAGCGCUAGUAAUCGCAAAUCAGCAUGU
This 1277-nucleotide ribosomal RNA is filed under the name uncultured prokaryote. RNAcentral's name for it is "partial 16S ribosomal RNA". It matches the Rfam family "Bacterial small subunit ribosomal RNA", at positions 76 to 1357 of the family's 1533-position model. The record is from RNAcentral.